GGGAGGACUUCUGAUAUAAACAAGUAUUAGUAACUGCUUAGGGAGGUGUCUUGAAAGAAGAAGAUGGAUUCAGGGGGAUAUGAAAAAAGGGGUCCUUUUUUCACUUUUAUUUUAAUUGGUUGGAUGAUUAUAUGAAAUGGAGAGCUGAGUUUACUUGUUUGGGACUGAGGCGGAGUUGUUCUUGUUUGCUUUAGUAUACCAAAAAUCUGGUUCUCGUUUUAGUGUGGUAAUAUGUUUAUUUCGAACAAGUCCGGGGAUUGGUUUUUUGUUUUGGGGGUGGGUAGUUGGUGCAUAUAUAGGAGGUAC
RNAcentral lists this unclassified non-coding RNA (306 nucleotides) under Hevea brasiliensis (rubber tree). The record is from RNAcentral. Lineage: Eukaryota; Viridiplantae; Streptophyta; Magnoliopsida; Malpighiales; Euphorbiaceae.